UUUCGGGUGAAAUUUCACCCGCUCGACCCUUUCUUAUGACCUUUUCGACGCAUCUCCUCGUUUCACCCCUCUCCUCUCUCAGAGCCUCUUUUCUCUUGCUCAAUCCUUCCCCUCCUCUCUUGCUCGCUCUUUCCCCUUCGUCGCCUCUUCCCCUCUCCUCUCUUGCUCUCUCCUUCCCCUCCUCUCGCAGAGCCUCUCUUCUCUUGCUCUCUCCUUCGCCUCCUCUCUCGCUGACCUUUUCCCCUUCGUCGCCUCUUCCCCUCUCCAUCUCUCCAAGCUGAAAAAUUUGGGAAUAGGUGGCUUCCUAGAAUGGCCGCAUCGAUCAUCACUGCUGCCUACUAUUGCCUCCAUCACCGAUCUCGUUGAUGUUGGGAGCGAGAGGGCCAGGAGCAAGGCGAGCGCGUUACUCUCCAUCUUGGGCGUCCAGGAUAGCCUUCAUCCCCUCUCUGACGGGUCGAACUAUUAAUGAUUCUUUGUUGGAAAUCAAACUUUCAAUGACAACCAUGUCUUCAUUCCUAACCAAUUACAUGUUUACAAACUAUAGUGGUAGAUGCCGAAGCUUCAUUUCUUGGAAUAUUUUACUGUAUAUUUUUAUGGUGUGUCGUUAAUUUUCAUAUGACGAACGCGGAAGAUACAAUUAGGUAAAACAGAAGCUUAUUCAGAUCUGUUGGUGUUUAUAGCAGUAGAAUCAAUUCCUGUUUUCA
Molecule: long non-coding RNA, 704 nt
Organism: Nymphaea colorata (pocket water lily)
Lineage: Eukaryota; Viridiplantae; Streptophyta; Magnoliopsida; Nymphaeales; Nymphaeaceae
Exons: 2
Source: RefSeq, a predicted model, not a curated record